GUCCUUAAGAUUUUAAUUUAAGGUCUAAUCUGCCCACUGAAUAUUUAAAUGGCUGCAGGAUUUUUUACUGUACAAAGGUAGCAAAAUAAUUUGUUUUUUAAUUAAAAACUGGAAUGAAAGAUUGAAUGAAAUAUAAACUGUUUCAGUUAAAUUAUAUUAAAUUUUUUAUUUUUGUAAAAAAACUUAAAUAUUUAUUAAAGACGACAAGACCCUAUAGAAUUUUAUUUGAUUAAUUUAAAUUUAGGUUAAUUAAAUUUUGUUGGGGUAAUAGAAAAAUUAAAUAAAUUUUUUUUUAAAAAAACAUUUUUAAUGAAUUAUAUAAUUUAAUUUUUAGAAUUAAUAAUUAAUUACCUUAGGGAUAACAGCAUAAUUUUUUUUGAAAGAUCAUAUUAAUAAAAAAGAUUGU
This 406-nucleotide ribosomal RNA is filed under the name Hemibracon sp. RNAcentral describes it as "partial 16S ribosomal RNA". The record is from RNAcentral. Lineage: Eukaryota; Metazoa; Arthropoda; Insecta; Hymenoptera; Braconidae.